GCCAAUGUGGUGUAGUGGUUUGAGCAUUGGACUAGGACUCUAGAGACCAGGGUUCAAAUCCCAACUCAGCCA
Molecule: non-coding RNA, 72 nt
Organism: Phrynosoma platyrhinos (Desert horned lizard)
Lineage: Eukaryota; Metazoa; Chordata; Lepidosauria; Squamata; Phrynosomatidae
Source: the annotation of a GenBank genome assembly